RNAcentral lists this small RNA (29 nucleotides) under Bombyx mori (domestic silkworm). RNAcentral describes it as "ovarian small RNA-17572". Lineage: Eukaryota; Metazoa; Arthropoda; Insecta; Lepidoptera; Bombycidae. The record is from RNAcentral.
GGUGAAACUCAUGGGCAAUGGGCCGCACA